This 236-nucleotide unclassified non-coding RNA is filed under the name Basidiomycota sp. Its description in RNAcentral is "partial contains small subunit ribosomal RNA, internal transcribed spacer 1, and 5.8S ribosomal RNA". The stretch from base 1 to 47 matches the Rfam family "Eukaryotic small subunit ribosomal RNA", at positions 1785 to 1831 of the family's 1831-position model. Lineage: Eukaryota; Fungi; Basidiomycota. The record is from RNAcentral.
AAAGUCGUAACAAGGUUUCCGUAGGUGAACCUGCGGAAGGAUCAUUAGUGAAUUCAUAGGACGUCUGCCGCAAGCAGAGUCCGAAACCUCACACACACCCUCACACUGUGCACUAUAUCUCUGCGAAACGGGUCUCACGACCCCGACUAGCGGCUUAUUAUUACAAAAUCUAGUCCAUGUAUGUCAAACAAAAAUAUAAUAAUGAAAAACUUUCAACAACGGAUCUCUUGGCUCUC